RNAcentral lists this ribosomal RNA (484 nucleotides) under uncultured bacterium. RNAcentral's name for it is "partial 16S ribosomal RNA". It matches the Rfam family "Bacterial small subunit ribosomal RNA", at positions 29 to 523 of the family's 1533-position model. The record is from RNAcentral.
AGUGAACGCUGGCGGCGUGCUUAACACAUGCAAGUCGAACGAGAACGGGUUAUAGCUUGCUAUAAUUGUCAGCUAAGUGGUGCACGGGUGAGUAAUGUAUAGGUAAUAUGCCUCUUACUAAGGGAUAACAAAUGGAAACGUUUGCUAAUACCUUAUACUCCUUAUUAACAUAAGUUAAUAAGGGAAAGAUUUAUUGGUAAGAGAUUAGCCUGUAUUGUAUCAGUUAGUUGGUGGGGUAAUGGCUUACCAAGACUAUGACACAUAACUGGUUUGAGAGGAUGAUCAGUCACACUGGAACUGAGACACGGUCCAGACUCCUACGGGAGGCAGCAGUGGGGAAUAUUGCACAAUGGACGAAAGUCUGAUGCAGCAACGCCGCGUGGAGGAUGACACAUUUCGGUGCGUAAACUCCUUUUAUAUGAGAAGAUAAUGACGGUAUUAUAUGAAUAAGCACCGGCUAACUCCUUGCCAGCCGCCGCCGUAA